UACAGAGGGUGCGAGCGUUAAUCGGAAUUACUGGGCGUAAAGCGCGCGUAGGCGGCUUUGCAAGUCGGGUGUGAAAUCCCCAGGCUUAACCUGGGAACUGCGUCUGAUACUGGAUGGCUUGAAUUCGGGAGAGGGAUGCAGAAUUCCAGGUGUAGCGGUGAAAUGCGUAGAUAUCUGGAGGAAUACCGGUGGCGAAGGCGGCAUCCUGGACCGACAUUGACGCUGAGGAGCGAAAGCUAGGGGAGCAAACGGG
This 253-nucleotide ribosomal RNA is filed under the name uncultured bacterium. RNAcentral describes it as "partial 16S ribosomal RNA". It matches the Rfam family "Bacterial small subunit ribosomal RNA", at positions 524 to 776 of the family's 1533-position model. The record is from RNAcentral.